Non-coding RNA from Manis javanica (Malayan pangolin), 4445 nucleotides. The record is from RefSeq and is a predicted model, not a curated record. NCBI's taxonomy places the organism in Eukaryota, Metazoa, Chordata, Mammalia, Pholidota, Manidae.
AUUAAAAUGAGCACCAUGAAUCAAGAAACAGGAGUAGCAAUCUCAAUAAGGGCGCCUGGAAUCCACCCCUGCUGUGCACAGAGCGAUUUACAGGCGUCAUCUGGCUGCCCUUCAAACAAAUUGGUGCACCGCAGGCGAGCGUGGUCUCCACUCACCCCUGAGGACGUUAAGGCACAGGAGACUAUGGAAAUCAGUCAGAAGUGUCCCUUGAAACUUGUGAUAUACUUUCCCUAAUGUUAUUGCUUUUCCAUGACUUGCCUCUUGAAAAUGGAAAAUACUAAAGUGGACCUGAAUCGUCUGCACCUAGCGUCAGUCGCUGGGUUCUGUCCACCCCUGACGCCCACUGCCACCAGAAGAAACACCAGAACUCAAAGCCACAAGGUUCACACAGAAUGCAGGCUCCAAGUCACCCUUAGUUCAAAGCCAGUCUUCAAAGGUCCACGUAAGGGCAUCUGAGUCCCUCCCAUUGCUCUUCCUGCCACCACACCGUCAUGCCCUGGCCCAUUCGUGCAGCCGUUCCUCCUUUUCCUAAUCCCUGAAGGUGGGCAUCCAGCAAGCAUUCAUUAUAUGUCUCUUGCCUGCUAGGUGCUGUUUCCAAUUACUGAAAAGUGUCUAAUUACAAAAUAAUAAGUGAUUGUCAAAACAAGUGUUUACUUCAGGAUAUUUCCACUCGCCAUGCUCCGUCAUCCUGCCACACCUCCCAGCCCAAACCCACCUUCCUUGGUCUCCCAUGGCUCCGACUGGCUGGGCUUUUAACUAGUCCUUCAGUAUGCAGGGACCACGCACUGCUACGUUUAAAAAUCCUUAAACCCCUCCCCCGAGGCCACCAAGCCGCCUUCUCUGUCAGGUGGCCACACCCACUUUGGCACACCCAUGCCUCAAGGAGCUCACCGCCGCCCAAGCCAGACGGUACCAAUGCUGGGCAUCGAGGCACAUCAGAAAACAUAUCCUUGUGUUGGGCCAAAAUCUACCUUCUCUGCACCAUUUCCACAAGCCAGGACAUGGAGAUGUCAGAUACUGACGCCACUGUCACUAAGAACCUUUGCUACUGUGUAACUCGGCAUCCAGGACAACUUGUCAAAAAGGUUGAAACCGUAUGUCCACACAAAACUUACACAUGGAUGUUGAUGGCAGCUUUUUUUACAGUUGCCAAAACUUGGAAGCAACGCAGAUGUCCUCACUAGCUGGAGCUAAACUCGAUGAUGGGGCUGCUGCUCGAUGAACCACACAGCAGGGCACCAGCGAGUAUGCGUGGACCGCAUGACAGCUGCCUCCCAGCACUUCUGCCCGCGGGACAGCUCUUAAGCUGGAUCCUAGCAGCAGGGCUGCAAUUGCUGCGUUCUGGGGGACCUCCUGAAAUGACAAAACCCUGGUGUCAUCUCCGCGAAGAGUACAUUGGCUGCACAGCUGCUCUGCUGGUGCGCAGGCAUAAACCUCUCCUCCCACGUAUACAUUUCCAAAGAGCCACAUGUGUGCUGAAGAGCGGUUAAGAAAGAGGGUGUGUUUUAGGGCUUCAGAGCAGCAUGCAGUCCUGGAAAGAGGGAGCCACAGAUACAGAUGAGACAGUGAUUCCGGUGACCCUCCAACUGUUUCAAUCUUCUUCCUGAGGCAGGAAGAAGGCAGACAAAAUCUGGUACAGAGGGACUGUGUUGGUAUCUUGCCGCUGAUGCACACCCAGACCUCACGCAGCUGUAAGGUGCUUCAGAGAAGAGCCCCACCCCAGGCCCUGCCCUGUCCCAACAUUGACAUUUGUUCCAUGCACCAAAGUGCAUGUCUCCCGAUGCCUCCAUUUGUAUCUGUCUAUAUGUAUAUCCAGAUUUAUCUGCAUCCAUAUUCACAUGUAUAUCUGUAUCCCCAGCCACAGCCAUUUCCAUAUGUACAUAUAAAUGUACAUACUGCAUGUUGUCUUACUCACUGAAUAGAUCUGUUGAGCCCUGCAGUGAACAUUGCUGGGAGCCACACCAGCAUCAAGCCCCUCCCCAGGGGUGGUCAUUGAGUGGCCUAAAUGAACCAGUAUAAUCCAGUGAUAGGUUUGGGACUGGGCACUUGUCCAGGCAUAAACCCACCAAUGAUGGGCAUUGUCUAGUGAUGAAGCCUUGGGAUGGCUGCAGCCAAUUUGCCAUCAUGAGGGAGGGAAGCCUCAGGAUGUUGCCAACGCACUGAUUAGGACAUGCAGAGGAUCGGGAAAAAAAUGGAGCAGAACCCUAAUUAAACUGUGCCAAUGGAUUAGCCCCAGCUCUGGCCUUUUCCACAGUUUAAACCAAUUUGAACUGCACUUUCUGUUACCUGUAGUUGAUCAAGAACAUCCUUACUCACACAAGUGCUGAGCACUGGACAUUCUGUGAGUGAGAGAGUGCCUACCCUCCUGAGCUUACGUUUUCAGUGGAGGGAGGUGAAUAAAAAAACAUGGUAAUUUCAUCCCUUAUGUGUUGUAAGAGCGGUGGGGAACUUGUGACUUUCCCUCAAGAGUUGAGACCUGAAGGGUGAGAAAGAGCCAGCCCUGGGAAGAUCCGCGGACCGGGGUGUGUGCCAGAGGGAAGAGCCAGGGCAAAGCUGCGAGGUGGGAGUGAGCGUGGGAGGUUGGGCACCACGAAGAAGUCUCAGAGGCCGGCAACUGUGGAGCAAGGGGGAGCGAAUGAAAUGAAGAAAGUGGCCUCAUUUGUAGGCUGUGCAUCGAGUCUGGAUCUUACUGAGUGUGGCUGGGAGCUAUUAGGAGGAUUCUGCGCAGAGGUAUGACAUGCCUGAUCAAAUACUUUCAAAGGAACCUUCUGGCUGCUUUGCAGCAAAAUGACUACAGGAGCAAGAACAGCAGAGAGCAGUUAGAGGCACCAGGCAAGAAGUGAAGCUGGUCUAGACCCAGGUGAUGGCUGUGAAGAUGGUGAGAAGUGGAGAUACAGGGAUUGUAACUCCUAAUGCCCAUCCCCUCGGGGCAGCUGGAUGCCCCUUCGCAGGGACACACCAGCUGGGCUGUGGGUAUGAGUAAUUGCUCUCCACUGAAUCCUGUGUUCCAACAGGGUGAAUCUUUCACAGGCAGAACAGCACAGUGUGAUGAGAAAUGAAGUGGGAAGAUGUAUGCAGUGAGGACAGAUAUUUGGGGGCAGGGAGUCACACUGUUCGCAGAGCACACUUGCCUGGGAAACCAUGUCCGGUUUUCUCCCAUUACUUCCUUUACUUUUGAAAGCAGAUUCGCUUAAAGUCCUGUGUGUUGUUCCCUCUCCAAAGACCACAGCAAUGAGGAUUCCAAAUAAGGGGAAGGCCUCAGACGAGCAGUGCCAUGUCUCAAAAGCCUAAGUUGUUUCUAAGUGGGCUGUCCCCCAUUUAAGGUAACUCAUUACCAUGAAGCAAAAUCAAUAUGGCAAGUCAGGGACCCAGUGAAGGUCUCCUGAUUUUAAACGGAACCUUCAAUAUAGGAUUAUGCAGGAUUCUAAUAAAGUGCCUAUUUCAGCGCUACUUUAUAAAAUCAUCUUCAAGCUCAGCAUGAAGAACAUGCAUAUACAGUCGUCAGUCUCUAGCAGCAGUUCUCAAACCAGCUGUGCCAAAGCGCAGCCUGUCACAGACAGGAAUGUCCAGGCUCCACCCCCAGAGGUUCUAACUCAGUAGAUCUGGGUUAGGUCUGGGCAGUACGUGCUGCAAGGUGGUUCCAGUGGUGUCUGCAACGCCAUUACCUGUGUCCUGAGUUCCUUGGACAUUUUAUAACCUGUACCUUUUUAUGUAAAUACGAUUGUAUGUAAUAUGUUUAUUUUGAUACUAAGACAUCUCAAAUCUUCUUUGGAACUAUAUAGUAUGUAUUAAUGAGAACCAGCUAGAGCCCUCAGAAGCAUAGAAAGGAGAUGGAGUAUGUCCAGUAGGUGGCUAGAGGAGCAAGGACACAGGGCAUAGGCAUGGGGGGCUGGCAUGCUGGACAUCGCAGGCACUGACCACCCCCAUCUUUAGUUACUUAGCCCAAAGUGUUUCUCAACCUCACUCCUUUAGCAGUAUAUGCAGCCCAUGAAGCCCCAAAUGAGUUUGGGUUUUUUUAAACACCAAGGGGCAAGGAGCUUUCUUCCCCCCAUGCCACACCAAUUCUAAAGGGCUCGCCAUAGACUGGGGAUAAUGGGUCUUCCCAUCUCAGCACCCCUCACAGCCCCCACCAGUUUCAGCACCUCUGAUAUACACUACUGCAUAAAUGCUUACCCUUGACAGUACAAUACAUAGGGUAUAAACAAAUGAAAAAAAAAUGAAGAGGUUACUGAACUUUCUAUUAAUUGAUUCAGGACACAUCAAAAUGGCAUUAUAAACACUUUUUUAAUGACAACAGAUGUUAAAUGUAUACAAAUUACAGGCUAGAAUAAUACAAUGAAUACAAAAUUCAUCUAGGUAACGGUUAGAAAAGCAUCACUUACCGAAAGUAAAUCUGAUUCAAGUGGCUGAAGAACUCAAGUCCCCCAUUUUGACAAUUACACACA